This 525-nucleotide long non-coding RNA is filed under the name Apteryx rowi (Okarito brown kiwi). RNAcentral describes it as "lncRNA (ENSARWG00000000912.1)". The record is from RNAcentral. Lineage: Eukaryota; Metazoa; Chordata; Aves; Apterygiformes; Apterygidae.
GAAGACCUUCUUCACCAAAUAAAUCAACAAAAAGAGAAAUGGGAAGAAGAAAAGACUUGGAUUCUAGAAAAUUUGUCUAAAAACCUAGAUCAUCUUUACACCCAGCACACCUUGACUUUGCAGGAACUUCAAAACAUCAGUCUACAUGUGGACAAAGUGCAUGACCUUGUGAAUUUCCAGAUAAAACUUUUUCAGAAAAAAUCUGAAAAGACAGAAACAGAAAAGGCAGAUGUGUCAGUGGCUUUAGAAUUAAAGGUAGAACACGCAGCUGAUGAAGAGGUGAAACCUGAAUGCUUAGUGGAAAAAGGAUAUCUUUGGCAAGCACAGGCCAUGCUGCAAAAGAUACAAGAAUCUUUGGAUAAACGAGAGAAAGAAAUCACCGAGCUUCUACAAAGUGAGAGAAGAUAUAACAAAGCAAUGAAACCUCAAAUCACAGUGCUAAUAUUCUUGAAAACUCUUGUCCAGAGGGUAAGUAGUCAGUCAUCACGAAGAGGGAAAAUGAUUUGCCGGGUUUUCUAAAAGUCU